This 568-nucleotide ribosomal RNA is filed under the name Serratia marcescens. RNAcentral's name for it is "bacterial SSU rRNA". It matches the Rfam family "Bacterial small subunit ribosomal RNA", at positions 117 to 680 of the family's 1533-position model. Lineage: Bacteria; Pseudomonadati; Pseudomonadota; Gammaproteobacteria; Enterobacterales; Yersiniaceae. The record is from RNAcentral.
CUGGGAAACUGCCUGAUGGAGGGGGAUAACUACUGGAAACGGUAGCUAAUACCGCAUAACGUCGCAAGACCAAAGAGGGGGACCUUCGGGCCUCUUGCCAUCAGAUGUGCCCAGAUGGGAUUAGCUAGUAGGUGGGGUAAUGGCUCACCUAGGCGACGAUCCCUAGCUGGUCUGAGAGGAUGACCAGCCACACUGGAACUGAGACACGGUCCAGACUCCUACGGGAGGCAGCAGUGGGGAAUAUUGCACAAUGGGCGCAAGCCUGAUGCAGCCAUGCCGCGUGUGUGAAGAAGGCCUUCGGGUUGUAAAGCACUUUCAGCGAGGAGGAAGGUGGUGAACUUAAUACGCUCAUCAAUUGACGUUACUCGCAGAAGAAGCACCGGCUAACUCCGUGCCAGCAGCCGCGGUAAUACGGAGGGUGCAAGCGUUAAUCGGAAUUACUGGGCGUAAAGCGCACGCAGGCGGUUUGUUUAAGUCAGAUGUGAAAUCCCCGGGCUCAACCUGGGAACUGCAUUUGAAACUGGCAAGCUAGAGUCUCGUAGAGGGGGGUAGAAUUCCAGGUGUACCG